GGAAAAUAGCACCGCUUGGACCUGAUUAGACCAUUUUAUCAUCAGGGUUGGACGUUUAGAAAACCACCUUCCAGCUGUCACUCACACUUCCGGAUGCAUCUACCGGAUGAGUGUUGAUAAACAGGAGCCGGUCAUGAACACGUGCAAUGGCUAGAAAACUCGAGCGAGGAUAGAGCAAAAGUACAGUGCCAUGGAGGAUGCCCAGUCCAGACCCCAUUCAGUCCACUCCACAUACUCGCAGACAACCGAGGAUGCAGCCUCCGCCUUGGGAAAUCAUGCUGAACAUCACCUUACUGUCAGUCAGACAGUGCUGGUGGUUCCGAAGCGCUCAGAGAGCCCCAAUCCGAGUAUGACCGAAGAGACGACUUAUGCCCCUCGACUGGUGUCUUCAGUUGAUGCUUGUACUAACACAGACCCUCCAUACGAAUGCUGCCCAUGGCUGCGCAGACUGUGCCCGUGUCCACCCAGAGGCCUGCUGGCUACCAUUAUCACCAAAGGUUAG
This 502-nucleotide long non-coding RNA is filed under the name Sinocyclocheilus grahami. RNAcentral's name for it is "lncRNA (ENSSGRG00000038890.1)". Lineage: Eukaryota; Metazoa; Chordata; Actinopteri; Cypriniformes; Cyprinidae. The record is from RNAcentral.